CAGCAGCCGCGGGAAUACGGAGGGUGCAAGCGUUAAUCGGAAUUACUGGGCGUAAAGCGUGCGUAGGCGGUUUGUUAAGUCUGCUGUGAAAUCCCCGGGCUCAACCUGGGAAUGGCAGUGGAUACUGGCAAGCUAGAGUGUGUCAGAGGAUGGUGGAAUUCCCGGUGUAGCGGUGAAAUGCGUAGAGAUCGGGAGGAACAUCAGUGGCGAAGGCGGCCAUCUGGGACAACACUGACGCUGAGGCACGAAAGCGUGGGGAGCAAACAGGAUUAGAUACCCCCGUAGUCCCUGUCUCUUAUAC
RNAcentral lists this ribosomal RNA (301 nucleotides) under uncultured bacterium. RNAcentral describes it as "partial 16S ribosomal RNA". It matches the Rfam family "Bacterial small subunit ribosomal RNA", at positions 509 to 807 of the family's 1533-position model. The record is from RNAcentral.